GAUGAACGCUGGCGGCGUGCCUAACACAUGCAAGUCGAACGGAGUUCUUAAGGAAUGCGACUUCGGUCAAAUGACUUUUGAACUUAGUGGCGGACGGGUGAGUAACGCGUGAGCAACCUGCCUUUCAGAGGGGGAUAACAUUUGGAAACAGAUGCUAAUACCGCAUAAGAUUACAGUACCGCAUGAUACAGUGAUCAAAGGAGCAAUCCGCUGAAAGAUGGGCCUCGCGUCCGAUUAGAUAGUUGGUGAGGUAACGGCUCACCAAGGUCGACGAUCGGUAGCCGGACUGAGAGGUUGAACGGCCACAAUUGGGACUGAGACACGGCCCAGACUCCUACGGGAGGCAGCAGUGGGGGAACUAUUGGCACAAUGGGCGAAAGCCUGAC
This 386-nucleotide ribosomal RNA is filed under the name uncultured bacterium. RNAcentral's name for it is "bacterial SSU rRNA". It matches the Rfam family "Bacterial small subunit ribosomal RNA", at positions 28 to 387 of the family's 1533-position model. The record is from RNAcentral.